This is a long non-coding RNA of Tupaia belangeri chinensis (Chinese tree shrew), 346 nucleotides long. RefSeq lists it as uncharacterized. The transcript has 3 exons. Lineage: Eukaryota; Metazoa; Chordata; Mammalia; Scandentia; Tupaiidae. The record is from RefSeq and is a predicted model, not a curated record.
GACAACGCAACAGUUGGCGUGAAGUCAGCCGCAGACAUGCAUGGUCAACCACAGUAUCUUCUCACAGAGCUGCCAUCCUUAGACAGCCUGGCCACCGAGGGAAAUAUCUGAGAGCACAACACAAGGCCUCCUCAGGAGGUGCUUUGGUCAAGGCUGUGAAUAUCACAGGAGCUGCAGGGCUACCACCACAAGGGAUAGAGCCCCUUCAGGGCAUCGGCAGUAACCAAGCUUGCUGCAAAUGGAGGACACAUGUAUUGUGAUGGCCUGGAGUUACUCAGUUAUCUGAUCCUUGUGCUCAAAUUCACUUUACAAAGCUCAGCCGAGUCUUGUUAUUUUACAGAAACAC